CCUACGGGUGGCAGCAGUGGGGAAUAUUGGUCAAUGGGGGCAACCCUGACCCAGCAACGCCGCGUGAAGGAAGAAGGUUUUCGGAUUGUAAACUUCUUUUGACAGGGAAGAUAAUAACGAUGUACCACGACUAAGAACCAGCUAACACCGUGGCAGCAGCCGCGGUGAUACGUCGGGGGCGCGAGUUUCCCGGAGUUACUGGGUGUAAAAAGGGCGUAGGCGGGUUAGCAAGUCAGAUGUGAAAUACUAGGGCUUAACCGCAGAACUGCAUUUGAAACUGUUGAUCUUGAGUAUUGGAGAGGUAGGCGGAAUUCCUGGUGUAGCGGUGAAAUGCGUAGAGAUUAGGAGGAACACUAGUGGCGAAGGCGGCCUGCUGGACAGUAACUGACGGUGAGGCGCGAAAGCGUGGGGAGCAAACAGGAUUAGAUACCCUAGUAGUC
This 440-nucleotide ribosomal RNA is filed under the name uncultured bacterium. Its description in RNAcentral is "partial 16S ribosomal RNA". It matches the Rfam family "Bacterial small subunit ribosomal RNA", at positions 338 to 795 of the family's 1533-position model. The record is from RNAcentral.